RNAcentral lists this ribosomal RNA (16 nucleotides) under Saccharum officinarum (sugarcane). Lineage: Eukaryota; Viridiplantae; Streptophyta; Magnoliopsida; Poales; Poaceae. The record is from RNAcentral. RNAcentral also lists the same sequence under 3 other names.
UCAUACCAGCACUACA